This 369-nucleotide ribosomal RNA is filed under the name uncultured organism. RNAcentral's name for it is "bacterial SSU rRNA". It matches the Rfam family "Bacterial small subunit ribosomal RNA", at positions 526 to 896 of the family's 1533-position model. The record is from RNAcentral.
CGGAGGGAGCAAGCGUUACUCGGAAUUACUGGGCGUAAAGGGCGCGUAGGCGUUUUUUCAAGUCUUGUGUGAAAGCCCCGAGCUUAACUCGGGAAGUGCACAAGAUACUGGAAAAAUAGAGUUCCGGAGAGGAAGAUGGAAUUCCCGGUGUAGCGGUGAAACGCGUAGAUAUCGGGAGGAACACCAGUGGCGAAGGCGAUCUUCUGGACGGAUACUGACGUUGAGGCGCGAAAGCUAGGGGAGCAAACAGGAUUAGAUACCCUGGUAGUCCUAGCCGUAAACAAUGUGCACUUGGUGUAAGCCGGUUUUCGGUUUGUGCCGAAGUUAACGCGAUAAGUGCACCGCCUGGGGAGUACGGUCGCAAGUCUG